This 330-nucleotide ribosomal RNA is filed under the name uncultured bacterium. RNAcentral describes it as "bacterial SSU rRNA". It matches the Rfam family "Bacterial small subunit ribosomal RNA", at positions 185 to 509 of the family's 1533-position model. The record is from RNAcentral.
GUCGGCCUUCUUAUUUUAUAAGCUAUCGCGUGGAGGGAGGGGGUUGCGUCUGAUUAGCUAGUUGGAGGGGUAACGGCCCACCAAGGCGAUGAUCAGUAGCCGGUCUGAGAGGAUGAACGGCCACAUUGGGACUGAGACACGGCCCAAACUCCUACGGGAGGCAGCAGUGGGGAAUCUUCCGCAAUGGACGAAAGUCUGACGGAGCAACGCCGCGUGAGUGAUGACGGCCUUCGGGUUGUAAAGCUCUGUUAAUCGGGACGAAAGAGCUCUGUGUGAAUAAUGCAGAGAAGUGACGGUACCGGAAUAGAAAGCCACGGCUAACUACGUGCC